AGGACGAACGCUGGCGGCGUGCUUAACACAUGCAAGUCGAACGGGAGUAUUGAAGAAGCUUGCUUUAGAGAUACUUUAGUGGCGGACGGGUGAGUAACGCGUGAGGAGCUGUCCUAUGCAGGGGGACAACAGCUGGAAACGGCUGCUAAUACCCCAUAAGCCGAGAGGUAAAAGGAUCAAUCCGGCAGAGGAGGUACUCGCGUCCUAUCGGCUAGUAGGUGAGGUAACGGCUCACCUAGGCGAAGACGGGUAGCCGGCCUGAGAGGGCGAACGGCCACACUGGAACUGAGAUACGGUCCAGACUCCUACGGGAGGCAGCAGUGGGGAAUAUUGGGCAAUGGGGGAAACCCUGACCCAGCGACGCCGCGUGGGUGAAGAAAUCCUUCGGGAUGUAAAGCCCUGUUGUAUGGGAAGAGCGGAAGACGGUACCAUACGAGGAAGCCCCGGCAAACUACGUGCCAGCAGCGGC
This 469-nucleotide ribosomal RNA is filed under the name uncultured bacterium. Its description in RNAcentral is "bacterial SSU rRNA". It matches the Rfam family "Bacterial small subunit ribosomal RNA", at positions 26 to 518 of the family's 1533-position model. The record is from RNAcentral.